Molecule: ribosomal RNA, 509 nt
Filed under: uncultured bacterium
Lineage: Bacteria
Description: bacterial SSU rRNA
Rfam family: Bacterial small subunit ribosomal RNA
Source: RNAcentral
CUACGUGCCAGCAGCCGCGGUAAUACGUAGGUGGCGAGCGUUGUCCGGAAUCAUUGGGCGUAAAGGGAGCGCAGGCGGGCCGGUAAGUCUUACUUAAAAGUGCGGGGCUCAACCCCGUGAUGGGAGAGAAACUAUCGGUCUUGAGUACAGGAGAGGAAAGCGGAAUUCCCAGUGUAGCGGUGAAAUGCGUAGAUAUUGGGAAGAACACCAGUGGCGAAGGCGACUUUCUGGACGAAAACUGACGCUGAGGCGCGAAAGCCAGGGGAGCGAACGGGAUUAGAUACCCCGGUAGUCCUGGCCGUAAACGAUGGGUACUAGGUGUAGGAGGUAUCGACCCCUUCUGUGCCGGAGUUAACGCAAUAAGUACCCCGCCUGGGGAGUACGACCGCAAGGUUGAAACUCAAAGGAAUUGACGGGGGCCCGCACAAGCGGUGGAGUAUGUGGUUUAAUUCGACGCAACGCGAAGAACCUUACCAGGUCUUGACAUUGAUGGACAGAACUAGAGAUAG